UACGUAGGUGGCGAGCGUUGUCCGGAUUUACUGGGCGUAAAGGAUGCGUAGGCGGAUUUUUAAGUGAGAUGUGAAAUACCCGAGCUCAACUUGGGUGUUGCAUUUCAAACUGGGCAUCUAGAGUGCAGGAGAGGAAAGCGGAAUUCCUAGUGUAGCGGUGAAGUGCGUAGAGAUUAGGAAGAACACCAGUGGCGAAGGCGGCUUUCUGGACUGUAACUGACACUGAGGCGUGAAAGCGUGGGUAGCAAAC
This 250-nucleotide ribosomal RNA is filed under the name uncultured bacterium. Its description in RNAcentral is "partial 16S ribosomal RNA". It matches the Rfam family "Bacterial small subunit ribosomal RNA", at positions 524 to 773 of the family's 1533-position model. The record is from RNAcentral.